This 1010-nucleotide long non-coding RNA is filed under the name Salmo trutta (river trout). RNAcentral describes it as "lncRNA (ENSSTUG00000007322.1)". The record is from RNAcentral. Lineage: Eukaryota; Metazoa; Chordata; Actinopteri; Salmoniformes; Salmonidae.
UCUCAAUGUGUGUGGCACGCUAGGCUUACAGCCUCAUCAAGCAUUGUGUUCUGUAAUGCCUAGAAGGUAUAUACUUGCAACAAAAUAACCAAACACAUUGGGGCACUAACGGCUCCAUCUGUCUUUCCUCAAUUGAAUGUAUAAGAAUUAAAUGUAUAGGGAUGACAUGUCCAGACAACAUUUCCUCUUGUGACAGGCUGUAACCUCCUCAAGGUGAAAGCUGUAUUUGGUAGCCAAAUGCGGAUGGAAAGCUGAAGGCCCAUGUUGACCAGUCCAGAUGGCAUAGGGAGAUACCCGCCAUGCAAAUGGAAUAGAUCACUUUUUCAAUGUAGCUACUCUUUGUCAUAUGCCGCCUCCGUCGUGCUGCUUUCAAGCAUUUUCCCAUUUCCUUUAGGCAGACGCAGCCUGUUCACUGUGAGCAUUCAGCCUACCCCGAUGGUCUCCUGGUAGACAUGGAUUACAAACUGCAUCCCAAUUUUUGAUCACUAGUUUCACAGGUCAAACCCAGGUUUAAGAGCAGAUUUCUUGAGGAAAGAAACUGCACAUGGAGCUCACAGAAAACAAGAACAAAAUGGAAUUCAAACAAACGAUGUGGGCCAGAGCGGUAAUACUUUACUGCGGCGUGGUAUUCCUCUACCACCAGGCCUUAGCAGUGGAUACCUACAUGGCUGAGUUCAUGGUAGAGAGCAAUGUUACAUUGGACAUCUCUGGUACUCUAUCAUCGAUCAAGGAAAUAACUACAGAUAACGGGAGUAUGACUAUUGAACUGCUUGAACUAACAGCGGAAUGUGAAACUGUUGGGGAUAAUUCUACAUGUAACUGUUCGACAAAGUACAUCUGGAGCAACGCCGUGUGUGACGAGUUCCAGUGUUGCAAUGACUCAUAUUGUAAUGCAAAUAUUUCUUACUUGCCGGCCUUCUGUAUUCCCAAAGUGAAAGGUAUUAUUGUUGACACUGUUAUUUUUACUACCAUUAUUUGAUAUGAUCAAUAGGAUAGAUAAUACUAUUAAC